AUUGAACGCUGGCGGCAGGCCUAACACAUGCAAGUCGAGCGGAUGAAGGGAGCUUGCUCCUGGACUCAGCGGCGGACGGGUGAGUAAUGCCUAGGAAUCUGCCUGGUAGUGGGGGAUAACGUCCGGAAACGGGCGCUAAUACCGCAUACGUCCUGAGGGAGAAAGUGGGGGAUCCUCGGACCUCACGCUAUCAGAUGAGCCUAGGUCGGAUUAGCUAGUUGGUGGGGUAAAGGCCUACCAAGGCGACGAUCCGUAACUGGUCUGAGAGGAUGAUCAGUCACACUGGAACUGAGACACGGUCCAGACUCCUACGGGAGGCAGCAGUGGGGAAUAUUGGACAAUGGGCGAAAGCCUGAUCCAGCCAUGCCGCGUGUGUGAAGAAGGUCUUCGGAUUGUAAAGCACUUUAAGUUGGGAGGAAGGGCAGUAAGUUAAUACCUUGCUGUUUUGACGUUACCAACAGAAUAAGCACCGGCUAACUUCGUG
This 484-nucleotide ribosomal RNA is filed under the name uncultured bacterium. RNAcentral describes it as "partial 16S ribosomal RNA". It matches the Rfam family "Bacterial small subunit ribosomal RNA", at positions 30 to 507 of the family's 1533-position model. The record is from RNAcentral.